GUAGCGCUGAAGAGUCCUGGAAAAACAGGACGAAACAGCUGUCCAGUAC
This 49-nucleotide non-coding RNA is filed under the name Trichobilharzia regenti. The record is from RNAcentral. Lineage: Eukaryota; Metazoa; Platyhelminthes; Trematoda; Strigeidida; Schistosomatidae.